UUUGAUUCUGGCUCAGAUUGAACGCUGGCGGAAUGCUUUACACAUGCAAGUCGAACGGCAGCACGGGUGCUUGCACCUGGUGGCGAGUGGCGAACGGGUGAGUAAUGCGUCGGAACGUACCGAGUAAUGGGGGAUAACGCGGCGAAAGUCGCGCUAAUACCGCAUACGCCCUGAGGGGGAAAGUGGGGGAUCGCAAGACCUCACGUUAUUCGAGCGGCCGACGUCUGAUUAGCUAGUUGGUGGGGUAAAGGCCUACCAAGGCGACGAUCAGUAGCGGGUCUGAGAGGAUGAUCCGUCACACUGGGACUGAGACACGGCCCAGACUCCUACGGGAGGCAGCAGUGGGGAAUUUUGGACAAUGGGGGCAACCCUGAUCCAGCCAUUCCGCGUGAGUGAAGAAGGCCUUCGGGUUGUAAAGCUCUUUCAGCUGGAACGAAACGGUACAGGUUAAUACCCUGUGCUAAUGACGGUACCGGCAGAAGAAGCACCGGCUAACUACGUGCCAGCAGCCGCGGUAAUACGUAGGGUGCGAGCGUUAAUCGGAAUUACUGGGCGUAAAGCGUGCGCAGGCGGAUUGUUAAGCAAGAUGUGAAAUCCCCGGGCUUAACCUGGGAAUGGCAUUUUGAACUGGCAGUCUAGAGUGCGUCAGAGGGGGGUGGAAUUCCACGUGUAGCAGUGAAAUGCGUAGAGAUGUGGAGGAACACCAAUGGCGAAGGCAGCCCCCUGGGAUGACACUGACGCUCAUGUACGAAAGCGUGGGUAGCAAACAGGAUUAGAUACCCUGGUAGUCCACGCCCUAAACGAUGUCAACUGGUUGUUGGGGGAGUGAAAUCCCUUAGUAACGAAGCUAACGCGUGAAGUUGACCGCCUGGGGAGUACGGUCGCAAGAUUAAAACUCAAA
RNAcentral lists this ribosomal RNA (901 nucleotides) under uncultured bacterium. RNAcentral describes it as "bacterial SSU rRNA". It matches the Rfam family "Bacterial small subunit ribosomal RNA", at positions 12 to 905 of the family's 1533-position model. The record is from RNAcentral.